CUCUCUCUCUCUUCCGUUCUUCACUUCUCCUUUUCAUCUGCGGGCAACCCAACUCCUCCAAUCCCGAAUACAAGAAAUCUUAUCCUCCUGCUGAAGCUGAGUAUGAAGAAAUCGCUCAAAACCCAUAAUGUUUUCAACAAAAAGCUCAAGGGUUUUCAUGAAUCAUUCGGUACCAGGUUGAAGUAGAUACAAACAACACCCAACAACAACAAUCGACAAACCGAAGCUCGCAGCAACAAAUUGAACUUGAACACACUCGAUUGGGCUCCUAAAAUCAGGAACAAAAUCGAUUUCGAGAUAGAAAUUGGUUGAUUAGGGGGGUUGGUCGACGGGAAGGAGCGGGUGCGGUAGAGGUUGGAGCGGAUGGUGCGCAGGGAACGGCCAUGGCCAUGGAGUGGUGGGUUUUCGGGCAAGGGAAAGAGGAGGGACUGUAGAAGGGGUGGAGUGAAAAAAAUAUAUAUUUUAAUUGAAA
This is a long non-coding RNA of Rhododendron vialii, 472 nucleotides long. RefSeq lists it as uncharacterized. The record is from RefSeq and is a predicted model, not a curated record. Lineage: Eukaryota; Viridiplantae; Streptophyta; Magnoliopsida; Ericales; Ericaceae. The transcript is spliced from 2 exons.